UGGUUAGUAGGUUGAUCAUGCCUCUGGUAUGUACUGGUCUCACUGAUUCCUCCUUUCCGAUGAGCCGUAAUGCCAUUAAUUUGGUGUUGCGGGGAAUUUGGACUGUUACUUUGAGAAAAUCAGAGUGUUCAAAGCAGGCAUAUGCCCGAAUACAUUAGCAUGGAAUAAUAAAAUAGGACGUGCGGUUCUAUUUUGUUGGUUUCUAGAGUCGCCGUA
This 216-nucleotide ribosomal RNA is filed under the name Campeiostachys nutans. Its description in RNAcentral is "Elymus nutans partial small subunit ribosomal RNA". It matches the Rfam family "Eukaryotic small subunit ribosomal RNA", at positions 651 to 864 of the family's 1831-position model. Lineage: Eukaryota; Viridiplantae; Streptophyta; Magnoliopsida; Poales; Poaceae. The record is from RNAcentral.